This 1120-nucleotide ribosomal RNA is filed under the name uncultured Oxalobacteraceae bacterium. RNAcentral describes it as "bacterial SSU rRNA". It matches the Rfam family "Bacterial small subunit ribosomal RNA", at positions 198 to 1305 of the family's 1533-position model. The record is from RNAcentral. Lineage: Bacteria; Pseudomonadati; Pseudomonadota; Betaproteobacteria; Burkholderiales; Oxalobacteraceae.
CGAUAAAAGCAGGGGAUCGCAAGACCUUGCGCGAAUGGAGCGGCCGAUGGCCCAUUAGGUAAUUGGUGAGGUAAAGGCUCACCAGGCCUUUGAUUUGUAGUUGGUUUGAGAGGACGACCAGCCACACUGGAACUGAGACACGGUCCAGACUCCUACGGGAGGCAGCAGUGGGGAAUUUUGGACAAUGGGCGAAAGCCUGAUCCAGCAAUGCCGCGUGAGUGAAGAAGGCCUUCGGGUUGUAAAGCUCUUUUGUCAGGGAAGAAACGGUGUGGGCUAAUAUCCUGCACUAAUGACGGUACCUGAAGAAUAAGCACCGGCUAACUACGUGCCAGCAGCCGCGGUAAUACGUAGGGUGCAAGCGUUAAUCGGAAUUACUGGGCGUAAAGCGUGCGCAGGCGGUUUUGUAAGUUUGUCGUGAAAUCCCCGGGCUCAACCUGGGAAUGGCGAUGAAGACUGCAAGGCUAGAAUCUGGCAGAGGGGGGUAGAAUUCCACGUGUAGCAGUGAAAUGCGUAGAGAUGUGGAGGAACACCGAUGGCGAAGGCAGCCCCCUGGGUCAAGAUUGACGCUCAUGCACGAAAGCGUGGGGAGCAAACAGGAUUAGAUACCCUGGUAGUCCACGCCCUAAACGAUGUCUACUAGUUGUCGGGUUUUAAUUAACUUGGUAACGCAGCUAACGCGUGAAGUAGACCGCCUGGGGAGUACGGUCGCAAGAUUAAAACUCAAAGGAAUUGACGGGGACCCGCACAAGCGGUGGAUGAUGUGGAUUAAUUCGAUGCAACGCGAAAAACCUUACCUACCCUUGACAUGGACGGAAGCCACGAGAGAUCGAGGUGUGCUCGAAAGAGAACCGUCACACAGGUGCUGCAUGGCUGUCGUCAGCUCGUGUCGUGAGAUGUUGGGUUAAGUCCCGCAACGAGCGCAACCCUUGUCAUUAGUUGCUACGAAAGGGCACUCUAAUGAGACUGCCGGUGACAAACCGGAGGAAGGUGGGGAUGACGUCAAGUCCUCAUGGCCCUUAUGGGUAGGGCUUCACACGUCAUACAAUGGUACAUACAGAGGGCCGCCAACCCGCGAGGGGGAGCUAAUCCCAGAAAGUGUAUCGUAGUCCGGAUCGGAGUC